Long non-coding RNA from Harmonia axyridis, 643 nucleotides. RefSeq lists it as uncharacterized. The record is from RefSeq and is a predicted model, not a curated record. The transcript has 3 exons. NCBI's taxonomy places the organism in Eukaryota, Metazoa, Arthropoda, Insecta, Coleoptera, Coccinellidae.
AAUUUGUUAAAAUCCAUCGUCUAAGCUAGAUAUGAAAUUAGGAUAACACAUAAAUUUGAGCUCAACAUUCAUAAAAUCUGACUGGCAUUAAAUAUUAAAUUUUUUUCAGAAAAAACUGGACGUUCUAGAGAACCUGGAUGAGUACAAGGUGAAAUCUAAUGGGAAUCAUGUUGUCUUUGGAAAAUAUGCUACAAAAAUGACUGCUGAGAAAUUUUUCCGAUUUUUCGCACAGUGUCAAAGCCCAUGUAAAAAGACCUUAGCAUUAAGAUUUCUGAUGAGGACCUUCUUCAAUGAUGAGAUAUUAGCAACCAGGUCAUUGAGUGGUGCGGUCAGCAACGCACAUCGUACACUACCUCCGAAACCACCAUUAGACAUCAAAAUAAUAACGGAUGUUUAUUAUUUGGCGAGAAAUUUUUUGAAGAUUGAUACAUAUAUGUUUUGCAGAUUAGUUACAAGUUUAUGUGCGGAUUCUGUAAAAAAAAUGGGGAAGAAGAAAAAGAAGAAUGUGGAAAAACAAGAUGAUGAUCAGAAAUAGUGACUCAGGUCAUCAUUAUUAAUAUUUUAUUUAUAAUUUUUUAUAAUUUAUUUAUUUAUUUUUAUUUAUAAUUUUUUAUAAUUUAAUAAAGUACUAAGCAAUGAUGUA